Molecule: microRNA precursor, 97 nt
Filed under: Callithrix jacchus (white-tufted-ear marmoset)
Lineage: Eukaryota; Metazoa; Chordata; Mammalia; Primates; Cebidae
Description: mir-544 microRNA precursor family
Rfam family: mir-544 microRNA precursor family
Source: Rfam by way of RNAcentral
AUCACCUGGAGACUUUGUUAAAAUACACAUUCUAAUUCUUUAAUCUGGGAUGGAAUCUGAGAUUCUGCAUUUCUAACAAGCUCCAAAGUGAUGCUGA